Molecule: ribosomal RNA, 742 nt
Filed under: Salmonella enterica subsp. enterica serovar Gatineau
Lineage: Bacteria; Pseudomonadati; Pseudomonadota; Gammaproteobacteria; Enterobacterales; Enterobacteriaceae
Description: partial 23S ribosomal RNA
Rfam family: Bacterial large subunit ribosomal RNA
Source: RNAcentral
AUACUCCUGACUGACCGAUAGUGAACCAGUACCGUGAGGGAAAGGCGAAAAGAACCCCGGCGAGGGGAGUGAAAAAGAACCUGAAACCGUGUACGUACAAGCAGUGGGAGCACAGGUUUACCUGUGUGACUGCGUACCUUUUGUAUAAUGGGUCAGCGACUUAUAUUCUGUAGCAAGGUUAACCGAAUAGGGGAGCCGGAGGGAAACCGAGUCUUAAUUGGGCGUUAAGUUGCAGGGUAUAGACCCGAAACCCGGUGAUCUAGCCAUGGGCAGGUUGAAGGUUGGGUAACACUAACUGGAGGACCGAACCGACUAAUGUUGAAAAAUUAGCGGAUGACCUGUGGCUGGGGGUGAAAGGCCAAUCAAACCGGGAGAUAGCUGGUUCUCCCCGAAAGCUAUUUAGGUAGCGCCUCGUGAAUUCAUCUCCGGGGGUAGAGCACUGUUUCGGCUAGGGGGCCAUCCCGGCUUACCAACCCGAUGCAAACUGCGAAUACCGGAGAAUGUUAUCACGGGAGACACACGGCGGGUGCUAACGUCCGUCGUGAAGAGGGAAACAACCCAGACCGCCAGCUAAGGUCCCAAAGUCAUGGUUAAGUGGGAAACGAUGUGGGAAGGCCCAGACAGCCAGGAUGUUGGCUUAGAAGCAGCCAUCAUUUAAAGAAAGCGUAAUAGCUCACUGGUCGAGUCGGCCUGCGCGGAAGAUGUAACGGGGCUAAACCAUGCACCGAAGCUGCGGCAGCGA